UACAGAGACUGCAAGCGUUAUUCGGAUUCACUGGGCGUAAAGGGUGCGCAGGCGGCCGUGUGUGUGAGGCGUGAAAGCCCGGAGCUCAACUCCGGAAUUGCACCUCAAACUACACGGCUAGAGCAUUGGAGAGGGUAGCGGAAUUCACGGUGUAGCAGUGAAAUGCGUAGAUAUCGUGAGGAACACCAGAGGCGAAGGCGGCUACCUGGACAAUUGCUGACGCUCAGGCACGAAAGCGUGGGGGAGCAAAAAGGG
This 255-nucleotide ribosomal RNA is filed under the name uncultured bacterium. Its description in RNAcentral is "partial 16S ribosomal RNA". It matches the Rfam family "Bacterial small subunit ribosomal RNA", at positions 524 to 777 of the family's 1533-position model. The record is from RNAcentral.